Molecule: ribosomal RNA, 573 nt
Filed under: uncultured bacterium
Lineage: Bacteria
Description: bacterial SSU rRNA
Rfam family: Bacterial small subunit ribosomal RNA
Source: RNAcentral
CCUACGGGAGGCAGCAGUGGGGAAUAUUGCACAAUGGGCGCAAGCCUGAUGCAGCGACGCCGCGUGAGGGAUGACGGCCUUCGGGUUGUAAACCUCUUUCAGUAGGGAAGAAGCCGCAAGGUGACGGUACCUGCAGAAGAAGCGCCGGCUAACUACGUGCCAGCAGCCGCGGUAAUACGUAGGGCGCAAGCGUUAUCCGGAAUUAUUGGGCGUAAAGAGCUCGUAGGCGGUUUGUCGCGUCUGCCGUGAAAGUCCGGGGCUCAACUCCGGAUCUGCGGUGGGUACGGGCAGACUAGAGUGAUGUAGGGGAGACUGGAAUUCCUGGUGUAGCGGUGAAAUGCGCAGAUAUCAGGAGGAACACCGAUGGCGAAGGCAGGUCUCUGGGCAUUAACUGACGCUGAGGAGCGAAAGCAUGGGGAGCGAACAGGAUUAGAUACCCUGGUAGUCCAUGCCGUAAACGUUGGGCACUAGGUGUGGGGGACGAUUCCACGUUUUCCGCGCCGUAGCUAACGCAUUAAGUGCCCGCCUGGGGAGUACGGCCGCGAAGGCUAAAACGUUCAAAUGAAUUGACGG